Molecule: RNA transcript, 1480 nt
Organism: Lycium ferocissimum
Lineage: Eukaryota; Viridiplantae; Streptophyta; Magnoliopsida; Solanales; Solanaceae
Exons: 9
Source: RefSeq, a predicted model, not a curated record
CUACCAACCACUCUUUACUUUUCGGUUGUCGUACGCUAUAUUCAAGAUGCCGCCUGUAGGAAAGUAAAACUAAUAUUGAGGAAUAAAAAUGGAAACUUCAUCUUCUUUCUCCAUGCCCUCUCUACUCUACUGAUCAGAAAAUUCAGUCCAGUAGCUCAGCUGCUGCUGCAACCACUUCAACUAAUUUAAUAUUGAAAAAAGAAAUUAAAGAAAAACAGAGAUGUCGGGCAAAGAAAGGUUGGGGUUAGACUACUGGCUUCAAUGGCAAGUAGGGGUGUGUGCUCUAAUCUUCGCCAUCCCAACGGCAAUCGCGUUGAGGCUCAUCAACAUGCGAAGAAGGAACACUGAAGCUAUCAUCAUCAAGUCCACUGAUCUCUGGGUCCCCUGUUGGAGAAAUCUGCAUCCACUUUGGCUUCUCUGCUACAGAGCUUCCGCCUUUGUUGCCAUGGCCUUCAUGCUUUAUCAGACUGUUGCCAACUUAGGAUUCUUUGUCUUCCUAUUCUACACACAGUGGACGUUUACUUUGGUUGGGGUCUAUUUUGCUCUAGGAACCAUUAUAUCGGCCCGGGGAUGCUGGUUGUAUACACGAAAUCCUCUUUCCCAGCCCGGAGAGAGAGAUAAAUUUCUUAAAACAGAUGCUGAAGAGGAUAACUAUGGGCCAUCCUCUGAACAACGGCUUGGAUUUUGGGAAAACUUUAUGCAAAUUAUUUAUCAGAUUUGUGCAGGUGCUGUUAUGCUGACAGAUAUUGUCUUUUGGUGUCUUUUGCUCCCAUUUAUGACGGGCGAGAAUUUUAAGCUCACCCUGCUAAUUGGAUUAAUGCACUCUGUAAAUGCUAUAUUUCUUCUUCUGGAUUCAGUCCUGAGCAAUCUUCAAUUUACUUGGUUUGGUUUCACAUAUUUUAUCCUGUGGAGCUGUUCUUAUGUUGUUUUCCAGUGGAGUCUACACGCGUGCUGUUUAUCUUGGUGGCCUUAUCCUUUCUUGGAACUUAACACUCCAUGGGCACCUUUGUGGUACCUUGGCUUGGCUCUGGUCCACAUCCCCUGUUACGGAAUAUACGUUCUGCUUAUCAAGGCAAAAGGCCGAAUAUUCUCGAGAUUGUUUCCACAGGCAUUUCUUAGGUCGCAUUACUGAGCUUCCUGCUGUUUCUAAGAAAUUUCCAUGUUCAAUCUCUAAAUCUUCAAGGAUGAAGUUCUUGGUUAUAUACGAAUGAUAUAGGAUAACACGGUGGUGCUGAGAUUGCAAUGGAGAAGAAGCUUACUUGAUGCAGAAUAUAAUGAAGAAGCCUGAUUUCGAGGUAGCUGUUGUUGUUGUAUGUAUAAAUGGAACUGUAAUGCUUAGAUGAGCUCAUUUUCAGGAUUGCUGUUAAACAAACUACCUCCCUUGCGAUACUUCUGAAUAUAUUUUAAGCAAAACAGAACAAAUUUACACGCAACAAAAUGUGUUUAAUCAGAAAAUAAUAAAAGAACUUCUCUUUCAUUA